This 951-nucleotide ribosomal RNA is filed under the name Boeremia foveata. RNAcentral describes it as "SSU rRNA". It matches the Rfam family "Eukaryotic small subunit ribosomal RNA", at positions 123 to 1081 of the family's 1831-position model. Lineage: Eukaryota; Fungi; Ascomycota; Dothideomycetes; Pleosporales; Didymellaceae. The record is from RNAcentral.
GAUAGUACCUUACUACUUGGAUAACCGUGGUAAUUCUAGAGCUAAUACAUGCUGAAAACCCCGACUUCGGGAGGGGUGUAUUUAUUAGAUAAAAAACCAACGCCCUUCGGGGCUUCUUGGUGAUUCAUGAUAACUUCACGGAUCGCAUGGCCUUGCGCCGGCGACGGUUCAUUCAAAUUUCUGCCCUAUCAACUUUCGAUGGUAAGGUAUUGGCUUACCAUGGUUUCAACGGGUAACGGGGAAUUAGGGUUCGAUUCCGGAGAGGGAGCCUGAGAAACGGCUACCACAUCCAAGGAAGGCAGCAGGCGCGCAAAUUACCCAAUCCCGACACGGGGAGGUAGUGACAAUAAAUACUGAUACAGGGCUCUUUUGGGUCUUGUAAUUGGAAUGAGUACAAUUUAAACCUCUUAACGAGGAACAAUUGGAGGGCAAGUCUGGUGCCAGCAGCCGCGGUAAUUCCAGCUCCAAUAGCGUAUAUUAAAGUUGUUGCAGUUAAAAAGCUCGUAGUUGAAACUUGGGCCUGGCUGGCAAGGUCCGCCUCACCGCGUGUACUUGUCCGGCCGGGCCUUUCCUUCUGGAGAACCUCAUGCCCUUCACUGGGUGUGUUGGGGAACCAGGACUUUUACUUUGAAAAAAUUAGAGUGUUCAAAGCAGGCCUUUGCUCGAAUACGUUAGCAUGGAAUAAUAGAAUAGGACGUGCGGUCCUAUUUUGUUGGUUUCUAGGACCGCCGUAAUGAUUAAUAGGGACAGUCGGGGGCAUCAGUAUUCAAUUGUCAGAGGUGAAAUUCUUGGAUUUAUUGAAGACUAACUACUGCGAAAGCAUUUGCCAAGGAUGUUUUCAUUAAUCAGUGAACGAAAGUUAGGGGAUCGAAGACGAUCAGAUACCGUCGUAGUCUUAACCGUAAACUAUGCCGACUAGGGAUCGGGCGAUGUUCUUUUUCUGACUCGCUC